GGGUGGCGGUGGCGAAGGGCUUUUGCGCUGACUCGGACACAAGAGAGGCCAAAAGGGGUUUCAAGCUUGAUGGGUCUUGCAGCUUCUGGUCGGCGCAGCCUUUGUAGAUGAGCUGGGAAAGAGAGGAAGGGUGAGUAUAUUGGCUUGUGGGUGAAUUAUUGCGAUGGCCUAAAAGGGAAUGCGAUUGAGUGCUGGAAUUAUUUUGACCAGAAUCAUCAAAGGUAGUAACUUUUGAUGGAAAAUAAAUAAUAAAUUUUGCAGUCAGAGGUGGGCCUGUUAAUGUUCUUUGUGGUACCGAUGGGACCCGCGGCGGUUUUUAACGCGUCCGACACUGGCACUGUUGUAAAUCAGCUUCAGCGGGGAAAAAACAAAGUAGACACAGUUCGUGUGCCUGUUGCUGUUUACUACCAUGUAACACAAUUUUUUAUUUAUUAAUUUUACAUUUUCAUGAUGCGUCACGUACACUAGGUUAUCAUCAAUGAAUGCUUCCAACUAUUGUGUACUUAUGUUAGAGGUGAUUUUUGAUGGCGGUGACACUUUUUUUUUUCCUCCUCUUCUUGUGCGAGUUGUGAUUUGCACUGCAAUGGAAGAAUGUGAGUUCAGAUUUCAUUUAUGAGAAUAGAACGCACAAGUGCGAAACUUCUACAAUGAGACAAAAAAAGUGUACGAGUUUGAGUCUUUCACGACCAAGUGUGGAUUAACCUUAGAGGAUUAGUGGGAACACAAACUCUUCACUCUUCUUUUCUUACACAAUGGCAGAAACGUGGAGGUAAGUGUGAAGAGGGGAAACGAAACUAAUAAGGAGAAGGAUCAAAAUCAUAAUUCUGUUAGAAUUUUGGAGACUUAGUAUUAUAUAUAGGCUAUUCUCUUUCCUUUGUAAAAAGCAGAUUUUAGAUUCAGUAAUAAAAGUAUUUUUCA
Cajanus cajan (pigeon pea) is the source of this 918-nucleotide non-coding RNA. The record is from RefSeq and is a predicted model, not a curated record. NCBI's taxonomy places the organism in Eukaryota, Viridiplantae, Streptophyta, Magnoliopsida, Fabales, Fabaceae.